UCGAGUCAGAAGAAUUGGAGAUUGCAAAAAUCAGUGAUAUUAAGCAUUUUGCACCAAAGACUUACAGAGAUUUUGAUGUCUACACACCGUAUAUUAUACAAAAAGGCAGAAAAAUUGAUGAAGUAGAAAUUGUUGCUGUUGGAGAUUAUAAAAUGAUGAAUGUUAUUAUGAAUGUGACUGCUGGUUCUAAACUAACUCAUGCUGUGGUACAAUGGAUGUAUAACCAAACGUUUCAAGUUAUUAAAAUCUAUGAUAUUGAAGAAUUUAAAUCUUUUGUGCCCUUAUAUCCUACGAGAUUUGAUUCUUCAAAAUCGUAUUGUGUGAAAUGUAGCAACAAUAAUUCUAGCAAUAAUAAUUCUUUUGAGGAAGUGUACAUACAGGCGUUUGGUGAUGAAGGCGAGAUGGAGAGUCUGUAUAGAUCAUUAUUAGAGUCUCCCACACAUGCCGUAAUAAGAUACAUCGAUACUGGGAGCAUUGUUAUUUUAUCGUUGAAUGAUGUUGUAAAUAAACUAUGGCUCUUUAAUCACUCACUGGAUUUUGACCAAUACGCUAUUUACGAAUCUUACGAUUCUGAGGGACUGUUAAAGAGAUAUACAAAUUUUUGCAGUAGGACUGUUAGAUAAUUGCAACCGUCUGCUGCAAUAGUUUAUGAAUAUGACUCAUGCUCUUGUCAGGGAUAUUCGACAUGAGAAACAAUUGAUUGUGCAAGUCGAUCAGAUUAGUGAAUUCUUAGAAUCUCCUCCAGAAAAAGAGGAAGACUUUGAACCAAAGAUACCAUACACAUUAAUUGAUCAACGUAACCAUAAACGAACCGCCAUUGAAAUUUAUGCAAUUGGUUAUAAGAAAACACUGAUUUUUGAAUGUCUACAUAAAUCCAAACGUUUUAAUAAAACUAAAUUUAAUAAUAGCGAUUUGAAAACGAAAGAAUCAACUUUACAAAACAGUAACAGUUCUCUGCAUGGUGUUAAGACCAUCAAUAAAAAGGAGCGUUGACAAUGAUGACACAAAAUUCUGAAAUAGUUAAUAACGAUUCUGGCUAUAAUGGUGGGAGUGACAUUGGCGAAUCUGACAAUGAAGGUGAUAAUGAACUGUAUGAAGACACGGAAGCAUUAAGAGCUCGAAUCUAAAAUGCGCAAAAAAGUAAUCAGAAUAAAGAUAUACCGGUGUCGCCCAAACGUGCUCCUACAGUUUCUUGCUCGACUAUUAGAAAAAAUUUAUUUGAUAUUGACGAACGAGAACCAAGUCAUACUCACAAGCACAAAAUGAACAACAGCCUAAUGGUAGGACGAAAAUUUUCACAUCAGUCUGCCAAUGGACAAAACCAAGGAACCAGGACGCAAUCGCGAAAGAAUCGCUUCUCCUUGAAACGUAAAUAUCCCGUGAAUCGAGACAGACAUCGAGUUCAGCGACCAGAUGAAGAGGAAUUUUACAGUAAUUAUUUAUCUGAUUCUGACAUAGGAGAAACAGAAUUAAAAGUAUUUGAAGAGUGGUCAGAUUGUGACGAGGACGACAAUGUAACUAAAAUGAUCCACACUGGGUGGAAUCAUUCAAUUGCCCGAAAGUCUUGGAGGAAUAUUAAAAAAUCGAAAAAUCCAAGUCUCUUUGCAAAAAAUUUAUCUCGAGCUCUUUGGGGAGAGGAAAUUAUAGAUAGGGCUACUGAAGUGAAGGAUAAUUUCAUGAAAUCUGUCACCGGUAGAAAAAGAACGCCAAUGACUCCCACGAAAAUGAAAUCUAUUUAUCAAUGUUUAAAAUAUUGGAUUUUAAUUUUCCAUGAAUAUUGGUUGUACGAGCGAGAUUUGAAGGGCAUACUGCAUAGCUUAGACCAUUACAUGGCGGAAGAAAUUCAGUAUCAACUUCGCCAAUACGAGGAGCGGAAUCAACUAAACAGAAAAGAAAAAAAAAGAGAAAGACUUGGAAGGAUGUUUAAUUGAUUUUUGUAUGUUUAAUAAGAAUUCAAAAACAUCCAGUCUUCUAUUUUACAGACAACAUGGUAAAGUUUAAUUUUUUAAGUUUUCGUCAGUUAAGAAACAUUAUUUAUUUAUUUAUUUAUUUAUUUAUUUCAUAAACAAA
Molecule: long non-coding RNA, 2070 nt
Organism: Phymastichus coffea
Lineage: Eukaryota; Metazoa; Arthropoda; Insecta; Hymenoptera; Eulophidae
Exons: 9
Source: RefSeq, a predicted model, not a curated record